AUUGAACGCUGGCGGCAGGCUUAACACAUGCAAGUCGAGCGAGCGGCGGACGGGUGAGUAAUGUCUGGGAAACUGCCUGAUGGAGGGGGAUAACUACUGGAACCGGUAGCUAAUACUGCAUACCAUCAGAUGAGCCCUGAGGGGAUUAGCUCGUAGGUGAGGUAAUGGAGCACCAAGGCGACGAUCCCUAGCUGGUCUGAGAGGAUGACCAGCCAUACUGGAACUGUGAGCCGUUCCAGACUCCUAAGGGAGUCAGCAGGGGGGAAGAAUGCAAAAAGGGCGAAAGCCUGAUGCAGCAAUGCCGGGUGUGUGAAGAAGGCCUUCGGGUUGUAAAGCACAUGCAGCUAGGAGGCGUUACUCACAGAAGAAGCACCGGCUAGCUCCGUGCCAGCAGCCGCGGUAAUAC
This 406-nucleotide ribosomal RNA is filed under the name uncultured bacterium. RNAcentral's name for it is "partial 16S ribosomal RNA". It matches the Rfam family "Bacterial small subunit ribosomal RNA", at positions 29 to 526 of the family's 1533-position model. The record is from RNAcentral.